This is a long non-coding RNA of Oncorhynchus tshawytscha (Chinook salmon), 308 nucleotides long. Lineage: Eukaryota; Metazoa; Chordata; Actinopteri; Salmoniformes; Salmonidae. The record is from Ensembl.
GGAAACAUUAGGGGGAGUUCUGCUCAGCGGUAUCUGCAAGGACUUGAGGAGUUGAGGGGUCCAGUUUUCGAUGAAGGAUUUCAUUUAGUCUUUGGUGGAUGCUGUAAUUCUUUCCAUUGUGAUGUGGUCUGAAGACCCAAAAGGGUGGACAGUUUGUGUAUGUGUAACGGCCGUUGUUGGUGGAAGAAGAGGAGGACCAAUGCGCAGCGUGAAACCAUACUCAAUCAUACUCUUUCAAGUAGUCUUUAUUCAUGUGAUUGCCCUCUGUGCUGGGACACUUUUUGUGCUACAAUAAAUGGUUAAAUGUU